This 204-nucleotide ribosomal RNA is filed under the name uncultured Alphaproteobacteria bacterium. RNAcentral's name for it is "partial 16S ribosomal RNA". It matches the Rfam family "Bacterial small subunit ribosomal RNA", at positions 210 to 413 of the family's 1533-position model. The record is from RNAcentral. Lineage: Bacteria; Pseudomonadati; Pseudomonadota; Alphaproteobacteria.
AUAUAUCGGUUAUGGAUGAGCUUGCGGGGUAUUAGGUAGUUGGUGUGGUAAUGGCGCACCAAGCCCAAGAUGCCUAGCCGGUUUGAGAGAACGAUCGGCCACACUGGGACUGAGACACGGCCCAGACGCUUACGAGCGGCAGCAGUGGGGAAUAUUGGACAAUGGGCGAAAGCCUGAUCCAGUGAUAUCGCUUUGGGGAUGACG